AACGCACAUUGCGCCCUUUGGUAUUCCUUAGGGCAUGCCUGUUCGAGCGUCAUAAACCCCCCUCAAGCGCAGCUUGUUGUUGGGCGCCUGUCCCGCCCCCGGCCGGACUCGCCCCGAAUCCAUUGGCGGCCCCCGCAUUGGGCUAUCGAGCGCAGCAGACUUGCGCCUCGAGCACAGCGCGCGGGCGACCACUGAGCGACCCCCAUCCACUUUGACCUCGGAUCAGGUAGGGAUACCCGCUGAACUUAA
This 249-nucleotide unclassified non-coding RNA is filed under the name uncultured Tetraplosphaeria. RNAcentral describes it as "sequence contains ITS2". Lineage: Eukaryota; Fungi; Ascomycota; Dothideomycetes; Pleosporales; Tetraplosphaeriaceae. The record is from RNAcentral.